Molecule: long non-coding RNA, 837 nt
Organism: Leopardus geoffroyi (Geoffroy's cat)
Lineage: Eukaryota; Metazoa; Chordata; Mammalia; Carnivora; Felidae
Exons: 3
Source: RefSeq, a predicted model, not a curated record
AUCUGGACUGCUCACCUGAGCCCCGCAGGCUGGACGGCACGGGGAGGGUCCCCCUUGAGAGGAGCAGAAGAGGGAGGGGCUCUGGUCACGGGGACAGUGUAAGCAAAGGCACAAGGCAGGACCCCAGGUCACAGGAGAAACUACCAAGUAGGGGAUGGUCCUGUGAACCCCAGGGCUCGCUGGGUGGCUUUGGGCGCUGGAGCUUUCUUGGGGGCAGUGCUUGGCAUCAGGAUCCGUUCCAAGGGGUCCCAGCACCUUGAUGGACCUUGAGAGGCCUUCAGUCUCGGCCAUGUCCGAAGCAGGGGGCGUAGUCUGGGCCCCAGGCUGAGAAAGAGCCUCCCAGGAGCAGCCCCACAGACGCAGCAUAGGGUGAGGACACGACAGGCCCAUCCAUACCCACCCUGCCGCUCUGGCCACAGGUGGCCCCCACGAACACUGACGGGCCUGCUCUAGGCCACAGCAGCUGCACCCGCUGUGGCUGCGGAUCCGCUCGAUGCCUAGAACCAGCAGGGGCACGAAUGCUUCCUGGAGGUAGGUGACCAGCCAGGCCUUUCGGGACCUGGACUCCUGGCGGCAGCACAGAAACCCUGGGGGCCAGCGGCUGGGGGCCUGUGGGCUGAGGCCUAGCCGUGUGCACGGGUGCCCACAUGUACACACAGCCCCUCCACUCCUCGGGCAAACCAUGUGCUGACAGUGUACUCCUACCCCCACGGUGCUGUGCGGCCCAGAGACAGCAGAAGGACAAAGAGAGAUGCCUGUCUCUUCAAAAGGCCAUGAUAUUUCAAGUCAUGAAACACCACAUUUGUGAGCACAAUAAAGAGAAAAGGUUUAAAUUAA